GCAGGACCUCUACUAGCACAGGAUGUCCA
RNAcentral lists this non-coding RNA (29 nucleotides) under Rattus norvegicus (Norway rat). Lineage: Eukaryota; Metazoa; Chordata; Mammalia; Rodentia; Muridae. The record is from RNAcentral.